ACUCCGGCGCGCAAUUUUUCCUUCAGGAGCUCACCAGUGACCAAUCAGCUUCGGAGAAACCUAAUUCUAUCGUUCUGCCCCUGCGCGCUUGCGCGCCGCCAUCUUCCCCAAAUGUCUCCGCCGCCGCGUGCUCUCCCCAAAUCUCCCAAAGUCUUGCGCACUCGACCGCCUCGUGUUUGCUGCUUCUCUCCCAGAUCUCAUCCAGAGCCGCGCGUCGCUGCCCGCCCAGUGCUCCUUUCCCAAAUCCAUCCCACCUCACCUCCGCUCGCCACUCACCAGAGCUGGAGACCCGGCAGCAACCGCCGGCCACCGUUUCGUGGAGCCGCGCCGCUGCCCGCCCACUGCUCCUCUCCCAAAUCCACGCCUCCUCGCAUCCGCCUGCCAUUCACCGGAGCGGGAGACCGGGCAGCCCCGCCGGCCGCCGCGUCCAGGAGCCGCCGCAUCGACCCACGGGAGAGCAGGAGGCGCGCCGCCCACCGCUCGAAUUGCAAGAAAUGCGGGACCCGCAGGAGGCUGCAGGCGGCGAGAGCGCGUGAGGGACCGCGGGAGCCGGCGCGUGCCUUGUGCUCGCAUCCGUGCGGGGGACCUCCCAGGAGGCGGAUGCUGCACAGUAUGGACUAUGGAGCACAUCCAUUCGUGCGGGCGCAGAGCGCAUCGGUGGCGGCGGCCGCGAAGCCGCAUGGGCCGUAUCGAUCCCCUUGCCUGCCCGACUGCCCGAGCCCCUCGUCACGCUCCAUCUUUCAAUCUCCAUCAAGGUAUUACUUUCCAUUCCCUCCCUUCCCCCCUCCCCUUUCUUGGAUUUUAGCAGAUCCGGUUGCACUUGUAGUCCUGGAUUCAUAUACGUAUGUAUGCUUGUUGAUUUGAGGACGUGCUAGGGUCAACUGUCAAGUUGUUCGGUGGUGCUAGGGGUUUUCCCCCCUCUUUGCUUACAAAUUACUUGUAACACAUGUUGGUUAGCAUUCCGUGAGCUGAACUAUAUAAGCAUUUCAUAUAUACCGAAUUUUGUUGAUGGGAAUGAAUACAUGGGUAAUAGAUACGUAGUGACAAGGAAUGAGGAGAACAAGGAAAACGAUCUUGGUCCUGCACCUCUGGAAGAAAUGGCUCCAGGUAUGACAUCCCAUUAGCUCUUGCAUACCCCCUUAAACUGAAAGUAAAUGCACAUGGUAUGACAUAUUAAUGCCUGCAGAUUUCUUACGCAUCUAUUAACAGCACCAUAACCUGACUGAAGAAAUGACAGUACUUACCAUGGCAAGCAAUCGAGCUGAAAGCCACUGUAGAGGUCUAGACUUUCCAUCUUGAAUGUUCCGCAACUCCUCAUGCUGCACACAGCAUAGCAUGUUAGGAAUUCAGAUGUGAGCAUGGAUGCCUGAUCGCAGAGGGAGGGCAUGCUUCUUUUGUCUACCAGUUCCAGCACAUUGAAAUUGUGUUUCUUCUGAACUUCCUAGAGAUAAAACUAGGAUCUCCAAGAGGAUGCUUUAUAAGGUGUCUCCAAGAGGAUGCUUUAUAAGGAGUCAAGUGCUUAGCUGUGUUCCUGGUAUGUAGCUUUUUAGGUUGUGUUUAUAGGCUAGGCCUUCUCUGUAGUUAAGUCUUUUGGCGUUCCUGAGCGCCUUUUGGUGUUUACUGUGAUGGAAAAUUUGGCUGUAUAUGCUUCUUGUAAUUGCUGGCUUAUAUGGACCCUUUGUCUGUAGUUCUGGGGAAAGAUUGGACAAGUAAAUGUAUGGGUGAUCAAUGUCAAUGUUUGUAUGCUCAUAUUGAAUCUGUUGGCUUCAAAUGAAAAACCAUCAGU
Molecule: RNA transcript, 1786 nt
Organism: Panicum virgatum (switchgrass)
Lineage: Eukaryota; Viridiplantae; Streptophyta; Magnoliopsida; Poales; Poaceae
Exons: 2
Source: RefSeq, a predicted model, not a curated record